This 86-nucleotide transfer RNA is filed under the name Thermoplasmata archaeon. RNAcentral's name for it is "tRNA-Leu". Lineage: Archaea; Methanobacteriati; Thermoplasmatota; Thermoplasmata. RNAcentral also lists the same sequence under 1 other name. The record is from RNAcentral.
GCAGGGGUAGCCAAGCGGCCAACGGCGCUAGGUUCAGGGCCUAGUGGUGUAGACCUCCGUGGGUUCGAAAUCGCAAUGUGCCUGCA